AUUUAUAUAGUUUAAUAUAAAACUUUAUAAUUUCAAUAUAAAAUUAAUUUAAUUAUUUAUAAAUA
Molecule: transfer RNA, 65 nt
Filed under: Hylaeus dilatatus
Lineage: Eukaryota; Metazoa; Arthropoda; Insecta; Hymenoptera; Colletidae
Description: tRNA-Glu
Source: RNAcentral